ACAUCUUUCUGACCUAGAGCAAGGAACCUCCAAAGCACAGACCAUAAUGAAAAAAUUGAUGAAUUUGAUUUCCUCAAAAAUUGAGACUUGUCUUCAAUGAAGAACAUUAUGAACAAAGUAAAAAAGAGGAGAAAAUGGAGGAGAUAUUUGCAAUAUGUGAAAGAAAUAAGAAAUAAGACCUUAAUAUCAAGCAUUCAUUACACUAGAAAUAAGAAAAGAAAGAAACCUCCAAUAGAAAAAAGAAACCACAGAGUAUAUAGAAGGGAAUUCACGAAAAUUAACAUUAAAGGCCUAUAAGAAUAGAAGGUGAUACUGAAAUUCAUUCGUAUUGAAUACAAAUUGAAACAACAGAGAUAUCUAUUUACCUCUGUUAAGCAUACAGAUAUUAGAGAGUCAGAUAGUGUAAAGUGUUGGCAAAAAGUAGAAAAGAGAGGAAUACUCAUUUACAUUUGGUAAAAUGUAGAGAAGUACAGCCAUCCUGGGAAGGUAUCUGAUAUUACUAGGUCACCUUAUGCCUGUGCAUUUCUAUGAUAUAAGAAUUAUUUUAAAUAGAGAGAGCCCACAGUCAUAUGGCAUAUUCCUGUAAUGUGUGUGGUUCAGUUAUUUGUGUUGGCAAGGUGUUGUGUGAUUUGGAUGCCUUUUAUUUCUUUGUUGCCUGAUUGCAAGGCUAGGACUUCCAGUACUAUGUUGAAUAGCAGUGGUGAGAGUGGACAUCCCUGUCUUGUUCCUGAUCUUAGGGGAAAGGCUCCCAGUGCUUCCCCAUUGAGAAUGAUAUUUGCUGUGGGCUUUUCUUAGAUGGCUUUUAAGAUGCUAAGGAAUGUUCCCUCUAUCCCUACACUCUGAAGAGUUUUGAUAAGGAAUGGAUGCUGUAUUUUGUCAAAUGCUUUCUCUGGAUCUGUUGAGAGGAUCAUAUGUUUUUGGGUUUUUCUCUUGCUGGUAUGAUCAAUCACAUUGAUUGCCUUAUGAGUGUUGAACCAGCCUUGAAUCCUAGGGAUAAAUCCCACUUGGUCAUAGUGAAUAAUUUUCUUAAUGUAUUGUUGGAUCCUAUUGGCUAGUAUCUUGUUGAGAAUUUUUGCAUCCGUGUUCAUCAGGGAUAUUGGUCUAUAAUUCUCCUUUUUGGUGGGAUCUUUGUCUGGUUUUGGAAUUAAGGUGAUUCUGGCCUCAUAGAAUGAGUUUAGAAGUAUUCCAUCCCUUUCUAUCUUUCAGAACAGCUUUGGAGGAAUAGUAUUGUUUCUUUAAACGUUUGAUAGAAUUCCCCUGGGAAGCCAUCUGGCCCUGCACUUUUUUUGUCUUGGGAGGCUUUUGAUGACUGUUUCAAAUUCACCCCCUGUUUAUUGGACUGUUCAUGUUUUCUAUUUCUUCCUGUUCCUGUAGUUUGUGGUUUUCCAGAAAUGCAUCCAUUUCUUCUAGAUUGCCUAAUUUAUUGCCGUAAAGCUGCUCAUAAUAAGUUUUUAAGAUCGUUUGUAUAUCCUUGGUAUUGGUGUUGAUCUCUCCUUUCUCACUCAUGAUUUUAUUAAUUUGAGUCUUCUCUCUCUUCUUUUUAAUAAGGCUGGCUAAGGUUUAUCUAUCUCAUUAAUUCUUUCAAAGAAACAACUCCUGGUUUUGUUAAUUGAUUCCACAGUUCUUCGUCUCUAUUUCAUUGAGUUCUGCUUGAAUUUUUAUUAAUUCUCUUCUUCUGUUAGGUGUAGGAUCUGUUUGAUGUUUUUUUCUACACCUCUUUAGGUGCAAGGUUAGCUUUUGUACUUGAGUUCUUUCCAGUUUUUGGAUGGAUGCUUGUAUUGCGAUAUAUUUCCCCCUCAGGACUGCUUUUGCUGUAUCCCAAAGAUUUUGAACGGUUAUAUCUUCAUUCUCAUUAGUUUCCUCGAAUCUUUUUAAUUCUUGUCUAAUUUCCUGGUAGACCCUUUCAUCUUUUAGCAGGAUGGUCCUUAACCUCCAGGUGUUUGAAAUCCUUCCAAACUUCUUCUUGUGAUUUAGUUCUAAUUUCAAAGCAUUAUGGUCUGAAAAUAUGCAGAGGAUGAUCCCAAUCUUUUGGUAUCAGUUAAGACCUGAUUUGUGAUCCAGUAUGUGCUCUAAUCUGUAGAAAGUUCCAUGUGCACUUGAGAAGAAUGUGUAUUCAGUUGAGUUUGGAUGUAAAGUGCUGUAAAUAUCUGUGAAAUCCAUCUGGUCCAGUGUAUCAUUUAAAGCUCUUGUUUCUUUGGAGAUGUUGUGCUUAGAAGGUCUCUCCAUUGUAGAAAGCACUACAUUCAAGUCACUUACAAUAAUAAGUGUAUUAUUAUCUAAGUAUGCCUUCACUUAGGUUAUUAAUCGAUUGGUAUAUUUGGCAGCUCCCACAUUCGGGGCAUAAAUGUUCAUGAUUGUUAGGUCCUCUUGUUGGAUAGAUCCUUUACGUAUGAUAGAGUGUCCUUCUUCAUCUCUUACUACAGUCUUUGAGAUAAACUUUAAUUUAUCUGAUAUAAGAAUUACCACCCCUGCUUUCUUUUGAGAACCAUUUGAAUGGUACAUGGUUCACCAACCUUUUAUUUUCAGGCUAUAGGUGUCCUUUUGUCUAAAAUGAGUCUCUUGUAGACAGCAAAUAGGUGGGUCUUGCUUUUUUAUCCAGUCUGAAACCCUGCGCCUUUUAAUUGGGUCAUUAAGCCCAUUCACGUUCAGAGUUACUAUGAAAGAUAUAAAUUUAGUAUCAUCAUGAAACCUAUUCAGUCCCUGUUUUGUGGAUUGUUCCAUUGGACUUCCUCUUUCUAUUACAAAGUAUUUCUUGCAGAGCCUUCUUCGUGGUCACAUAUUCUUUCAGUUUCUGCCUAUCUUGGAAGCUCUUUAUCUCUCCUUCUUUUCUGAAUGAGAGCCUUGCUGGAUAAAGUAUUCUUUUUUUUAUUAUUACAUACUGUCUUUUUAUUUUAAUGAGAUUUUUUUUAGUUUAUUUUUUAUUGGUGUUCAAUUUAUUAACAUACAGAAUAACCCCCAGGGCCCGUCACCCAUUCACUCCCACCCCUCGCCCUUCUCCCCUUCCACCACCCCCAGUUCAUUUCCCAGAGUUAGCAGUCUUUACGUUCUGUCUCCCUUUCUGAUAUUUCCCACACAUUUCUUCUCCCUUCCCUUAUAUUCCCUUUCACUAUUAUUUAUAUUCCCCAAAUGAAUGAGAACAUAUAAUGUUUGUCCUUUACCGACUGACUUACUUCACUCAGCAUAAUACCCUCCAGUUCCAUCCACGUUGAAGCAAAUGGUGGGUAUUUGUCAUUUCUAAUAGCUGAGUAAUAUUCCAUUGUAUACAUAAACCACAUCUUCUUUAUCCAUUCAUCUUUCGAUGGACACCGAGGCUCCUUCCAUAUUUUGGCUAUCGUGGCCAUUGCUGCUAGAAACAUCGGGGUGCAGGUGUCCCGGCGUUUCAUUGCAUCUGUAUCUUUGGGGUAAAUCCCCAGCAGUGCAAUUGCUGGGUCGUAGGGCAGGUACAUUUUUAACUGUUUGAGGAACCUCCACACAGUUUUCCAGAGUGGCUGCACCAGUCCACAUUCCCACCAACAGUGUAAGAGGGUUCCCUUUUCUCCGCAUCCUCUCCAACAUUUGUUGUUUCCUGCCUUGUUAAUUUUCCCCAUUCUCACUGGUGUGAGGUGGUAUCUCAUUGUGGUUUUGAUUUGUUUUUCCCUGAUGGCAAGUGAUGCAGAGCAUUUUCUCAUAUGCAUGUUGGCCAUGUCUAUGUCUUCCUCUGUGAGAUUUCUCUUCAUGUUUUUUGCCCAUUUCAUGAUUGGAUGGUUUGUUUCUUUGGUGUUGAGUUUAAUAAGUUCUUUAUAGAUCUUGGAAACUAGCCCUUUAUCUGAUAGGUCAUUUGCAAAUAUCUUCUCCCAUUCUGUAGUUGUCUUUGAGUUUUGUUGACUGUAUCCUUUGCUGUGCAAAAGCUUCUUAUCUUGAUGAAGUCCCAAUAGUUCAUUUUUGCUUUUGUUUCUUUUGCCUUCGUGGAUGUAUCUUGCAAGAAGUUACUGUGGCCGAGUUCAAAAAGGGUGUUGCCUGUGUUCUUCUCUGGGAUUUUGAUGGAAUCUUGUCUCACAUUUAGAUCUUUCAUCCAUUUUGAGUUUAUCUUUGUGUAUGG
This 4078-nucleotide long non-coding RNA is filed under the name Canis lupus familiaris (dog). RNAcentral describes it as "lncRNA (ENSCAFG00040005086.1)". The record is from RNAcentral. Lineage: Eukaryota; Metazoa; Chordata; Mammalia; Carnivora; Canidae.